RNAcentral lists this ribosomal RNA (253 nucleotides) under uncultured bacterium. RNAcentral's name for it is "partial 16S ribosomal RNA". It matches the Rfam family "Bacterial small subunit ribosomal RNA", at positions 524 to 776 of the family's 1533-position model. The record is from RNAcentral.
UACGUAGGGUGCGAGCGUUAUCCGGAUUUACUGGGCGUAAAGCGCCCGUAGGCGGCCUGACAAGUUGGACGUGAAAGCUCCUGGCUUAACUGGGAGAGGCCGUUCAAAACUGUCAAGCUAGAGUCUGGAAGAGGAGAGCGGAAUUCCCGGUGUAGUGGUGGAAUGCGUAGAGAUCGGGAGGAACACCAGUGGCGAAAGCGGCUCUCUGGUCCAAAACUGACGCUGAGGGGCGAAAGCGUGGGGAGCAAACAGG